UACGGGGGGGGCAAGCGUUGUUCGGAUUUACUGGGCGUAAAGGGCGCGUAGGCGGCGCGACAAGUCACUUGUGAAAUCUCCGGGCUUAACCCGGAGCGGCCAAGUGAUACUGUCGUGCUGGAGUGCGGAAGGGGCCACCGGAAUUCUCGGUGUAGCGGUGAAAUGCGUAGAUAUCGAGAGGAACACCUGCGGCGAAGGCGGGUGGCUGGGCCGACACUGACGCUGAGGCGCGAAAGCCAGGGGAGCGAACGGG
RNAcentral lists this ribosomal RNA (253 nucleotides) under uncultured bacterium. RNAcentral's name for it is "partial 16S ribosomal RNA". It matches the Rfam family "Bacterial small subunit ribosomal RNA", at positions 524 to 776 of the family's 1533-position model. The record is from RNAcentral.